RNAcentral lists this ribosomal RNA (253 nucleotides) under uncultured bacterium. Its description in RNAcentral is "partial 16S ribosomal RNA". It matches the Rfam family "Bacterial small subunit ribosomal RNA", at positions 524 to 776 of the family's 1533-position model. The record is from RNAcentral.
UACGGAGGUGGCAAGCGUUGCUCGGAAUCACUGGGCGUAAAGGGCGCGUAGGCGGGGAGGUAAGUCGGGUGUGAAAUCCCUCGGCCCAACCGAGGAACUGCGCCCGAGACUGCUUCUCUUGAGUCCCGGAGAGGAAGGUGGAAUUCCCGGUGUAGCGGUGAAAUGUGUAGAGAUCGGGAGGAACACCGGUGGCGAAGGCGGCCUUCUGGACGGUGACUGACGCUGAGACGCGAAAGCGUGGGGAGCAAACAGG